UACGGAGGGUGCAAGCGUUGUUCGGAAUCACUGGGCGUAAAGGGCGUGUAGGCGGUCCGCUAAGUCUGAUGUGAAAGCCCGGGGCUCACCCCCGGAAGGGCAUUGGAAACUGGCGGACUCGAGUCCCGGAGAGGAAGGUGGAAUUCCUGGUGUAGCGGUGAAAUGCGUAGAUAUCCGGAGGAAUACCAGUGGCGAAGGCGGCACGCUGGGCCAUAACUGACGCUAAGACGCGAAAGCAUGGGUAGCGAACGGG
This 253-nucleotide ribosomal RNA is filed under the name uncultured bacterium. RNAcentral's name for it is "partial 16S ribosomal RNA". It matches the Rfam family "Bacterial small subunit ribosomal RNA", at positions 524 to 776 of the family's 1533-position model. The record is from RNAcentral.